CCAAAAGUCUCACUUCGUUUCGUUCCCCCUGUCAACACUGUGACUUGCUAUCAAAUUCCAAAAGUUUUUCAAAAACAAUGGAAUAAUAUUCGGUAGUGCUAUUUUCACACUCUGUUAUCAGCUGGGGCCGUCGCAAUCGUCGCCGGAUUUCCAAGAUUUAUGGGCUAGGAAUCGCAAGAGCACAACAACAGCUUGUGAGUUACAAGAUUUCGUGCAAUCCGAUCCCCAACAUUUCGACGAAACAAGCAUAAUUGAGUUGAAAAAACGCAAUUUACCUCUUAUUUUCGGUAAUUUCACACGCCCACCGAGUUGAGUACCUCGCCGCAGGAGCUCCAGGACUCGAAGGACCUGCAGCCAGCACAAUCGGGCUGCUAAUGAGCGAAUAAAGAUAUCCUCAAGCCGCAGAACCAGCGGCAGGACGAGCGGCAGUCAAGUGGCCAACUGGAGAAUUCAGCAGUAGAUGACCCCCCGCCAGAGUUCGCAAAAAGGAAUGAAAACCAUAAAAAAUGCAGCCAACAAAGGGCACAAAUGCAUUUAUUAGAUGGAAAUAAAGAGGAACACAAUGCAGCAGCCCGAAAGGUGUCAAAAUCAACAAUUUUCAGCCUGCAAACAAUUCCACAGAAACCGAGGCACAGCGUGAUGCAAUUUCACCUAUUCGAACCUCCCUCCAUCCAGAAAAUAAAUCUACAGUAUGCCAGUCCAA
Drosophila santomea is the source of this 703-nucleotide long non-coding RNA. RefSeq lists it as uncharacterized. The transcript is spliced from 2 exons. NCBI's taxonomy places the organism in Eukaryota, Metazoa, Arthropoda, Insecta, Diptera, Drosophilidae. The record is from RefSeq and is a predicted model, not a curated record.